RNAcentral lists this ribosomal RNA (253 nucleotides) under uncultured bacterium. RNAcentral's name for it is "partial 16S ribosomal RNA". It matches the Rfam family "Bacterial small subunit ribosomal RNA", at positions 524 to 776 of the family's 1533-position model. The record is from RNAcentral.
UACGGGGGGAGCAAGCGUUGUUCGGAAUUACUGGGCGUAAAGGGCGCGUAGGCGGCCCGCUAAGUCGAACGUGAAAUCCCCAGGCUCAACCUGGGAACUGCGUCCGAUACUGGCAGGCUUGAAUCCGGGAGAGGGAUGUGGAAUUCCAGGUGUAGCGGUGAAAUGCGUAGAUAUCUGGAGGAACACCGGUGGCGAAGGCGGCAUCCUGGACCGGUAUUGACGCUGAGGCGCGAAAGCUAGGGGAGCAAACGGG